RNA transcript from Carcharodon carcharias (great white shark), 5897 nucleotides. It is a transcript of the gene named protein NLRC3-like, with no coding region annotated. The record is from RefSeq and is a predicted model, not a curated record. The transcript is spliced from 15 exons. Lineage: Eukaryota; Metazoa; Chordata; Chondrichthyes; Lamniformes; Lamnidae.
ACUUUCAUUUUUCGGUUAAGACGUUGAAAAAUCUAGUUUAUUCGCUUACUAACCAUGUACUCUUUUCACAAAUCGGCUUUAAAAUAAGACAGAUAGAACGAUGAAUUGCUUUCCAGUGGAACUUGCGAUACUUUAUUUGGUUUCUUUGGCAGCAUCCCUGGAGGUGGUGGUCAUCCCGGCUGUCAAUGCCACAAUUGGUGAAGAUGUCCUGCUUGGCUGCUCAUUUUUGCACACAGAUGAGCUUGAUUUGAGAUACGUUGUGAUUGAAUGGAACCACAGGGUGGGGAAUGAUGAAAAAGCAGUUUGCUUGUUCGACUUUGGAGAAUUUGAAAGCUAUAGACCAGAAUCAAGUCUCUCUAUAAAUGAAAUAAGCAAAGCAAAUGCUUCUUUGCUUUUAAAGAAUGUUACAAUUCAUGACAUUGGAUCAUACUCCUGCAUAGUUACAAUAUUUUCCGAUAAAGCAAUGGGGAGAGUUACUCUGGCAGUAACAGCACCUCCUACAGUUUCAGUAAACACUGCAAACAUUGACAUUGAACUCGGGGAAGAUAAAGCAAUCAUAUGUGAGAUGAAAAAUUUUUAUCCAGAAGACCAUUCUGUCUCUUGGUUCAAAUGUGGUUCAAAAGACACUGAAAGCCAAGUUGACGUCACAUCAAGAGCAGUUGCAGGAUCACCGCAACAAAAUCAAGAUGGAACAUUUAAUCUGCUUUCAUUCCUAAUCAUCAAAGGCAUCCAAACAGAUGAUGGUGCUUGUUAUGUCUGCUUAGUUAGUCAUGAAGCUUUAAAAGCACCUUUACAAAAUGUUGUCAGCUUGACCAUCAAGGGAUCCAAGCCAAGAACAAGAUCAGGAACAUUGCUCACUUUUCUUAUGACUUCUGUGAUCACAGCAACUGUUUGCUUUGCAACAUUUAUUUUUUACAGCAGUAAAAGAAAAGUUGCUCCCAAAGUGACGGACAUCAUUAAACCAAACCAUCUCCAUUUGGCUGAUCCCCUCUCUCUGGCUUGUGCAGUUCUCUGGUUCAAACCAAAAGCUAUCAACGUUUCUUGGUAUAGAGAGGAGGAGGGCAAAUUCCAAAGAGUUCUCAUCAGUAAAUGGAACAGCACCUCAUCUUCUGUAAAACAACGUGGAUACAGUGGAGUUGAAGAUUAUCAGAGUGAGCAGGAACAAGACAAAACACUGUACUUCACGGAAGGAGAGCAUGACAUUGCCAUAACUUUGAAAAAUCACAAAGGAAGUGGAGCAUACAGUUUAAUGUCUCAGCUCACCUUCAGAAAUGCCAAAGCUACAAAAAGGAAGCUUGUGUAUUCUUUUGAAGUUCAGCAUGACUCUCUAAAGCACACUAUUUCAAAAGUAGUUGUUUUAGAAAUCAAAGGUGCUUGUGACAAUACUGGAUAUUUUCCAUCACAAAUGAAGCGCACAGACUGGGCAAUACAUGCAAUUGAAGAAGGUCGUCGGACUGUGGUUAAUUACAUCAGUCCUAACAUACUUCCACUCUUAAAUCUUUUAAUGAAUAAGAAAAUAAUCUCUGAAGAUGACCAUAAUGUAAUAAAAGAUAAACCAGACGUCGAUAAAGGGCGAACUCUUCUCGACAUAUUGAGCCACAGAGGUCAGCAGUCAUGUACUGAUUUUCUCACUGCACUGACAGACACUGAAGACCUUUAUCCUGGCUUAAAGAAGUUUGUAACAACACUGCUGGAAUCCUACAUUGAUAAAGAUGACAGGCCAAUUAUUGAUCUUCUCCAUGAAAACCUACCAACUGUUUUACUUGAGGGCAGCAAUGAAAAAAUCCAAAUAACCAAUUUCCCUGAAGAAAUCUCUGAAGCAGUGGCCACACAUAAAUACACAUUACUAGCACAGAUGGAGAGAAUAAAGCCAUACUUUGUAUUUGAUAACUCCAGACCAUUGCUGCAGGAACAUUUCACCAGUCUAGUCAUUCUCAAUGUCCGAGAAAGGAAUAAAACUGAACAUGAACUCCUGCAACACAGAGACUACACAGCGUGCGAGCGUAUAGAUUUAAAACAGCUUCUUUCACCAUCUGCACCUGGGGAAAAGCCACCUCGAGUCACUCUAGUGCAAGGAGUGGCAGGUAUAGGCAAAAGCGUUAUGAUGCAAAAGCUCACUCAUAGUUGGGCCUGUGGAAUGAUUUAUACUGGAUUUUAUAUACUGCUUUAUUUCAAUUUUCGGGAGUUAAACACAAUCAAGGAAAAAAUUAGCCUGACCGAGCUUAUUGUACAUAGCUACCCUCAUCUGAGAGCAUUGUGCAAUAAGAUACUGGAAUUUCCUAGCAGGAUCCUAUUUUUAUUUGAUGGAUUGGAUGAAUUCAAAUUGUCUCUUGAAUUUAACAACCAUUCAAUUGUUGACCCAUCCAUUGCUCAACAUAUUAAUCAUUUGAUUGUAAGUAUCAUAAAGGGAGACCUUGUUCAUGAGGCAACUGUCCUUAUUACAUCCCGCCCAACCACAAUCGAUUUAGAUAACAAAACAUAUUUUAAUCGAUGUGCUGAAAUUUUAGGAUUUUCUAAAAGUGAAAUUGCUGCAUACUUUUUGAAGUGCCUCAAGGAUAAAAAAGUUGCUGACCAUGUCUUUCGAACAGUGAAGAGCAUUGAUUCUUUGUUUGGACUUUGCUAUGUUCCUGCAUUUUGUGACAUCCUGUGUUUCUACCUCCAUAAAUCCUUUCACUGUAAAGGCAGGUGGUCUCAGAUCUCUUCCUUUCCCAGGACAAUCACCGAUUUGUUCCUCAGAUUCACCAAGUGUUUACUGAUCUGUAACAGUGAUAAGGAAGAUGACCCUGAGUCCUUCUGCAUAGAAGAUGAUGAAGACAAAAAUGAAAUAAUUAAAUUAGCAGAACUUGCAUGGGAUGGAAUCGUCAAUAAAACAAUAAUUUUCUCAGCAAAAGACAUUGAAAGGAACAUUGCCAAAAAUCCCCAGGACAAAAAAUCCUUCUGGAAAAAAAUUCUCACCAAAGAGAGCUUGAAAAUGAUGCAAUCCCACAUUUGGCAAUUUUUCCAUCUGACACACCAGGAGUUUUUUGCAGCGCUUUAUUGCAUUUCUGCAAAUGAAUCUGGUGUGGAUCAUGUGCAUAAAGCCUUCAGUUCAAAGAGUAAUGUAUUUGAGAUUGUACUGAGGUUCACUGCUGGCCUAGUCUCUCAUAGCAACAGAAAAUUUGUGAAGCAGUUGCUGCCUCAACACCAGGUUAAAGAAAGAGAAGUCUUUGAUGCUAUCAAAAAUAUUGCUGCAGUUGAAGUUCCAAAAGAAGACACGCUAACUCCAGAAAAUAUUACAAAAUAUACAGUGCACAAAAGACAAAAACUAACAGCCUCUCAUUGUCUCUAUGAAGCGGCAAAUGAAAAUUUAACACAACUAGUUGCCUCCCAAACCAGUGAUGUUGUAAAUUUUUCUUACAUUUCUUUGAAUGUGACUGACUGCACUGCAAUUGCAAACCUCCUUUCUUACCAUACCACGAUUGAAACAUUGGAAUUAGAUGGAUGUAAAGCUGGAGCUUCUGGUUUCCAAAGACUGGAGUCUGUUUUCUCAAAAGUCAAGACAUUGAGUUUAGAAGGAAACAUGCUGGAGGAUGAAGGAGCAGAGAUCAUUGCGAAUGCACUCAAAAGUGAAACAUGUAGAAUAGAAAUCUUAAGGUUGAAACACAAUUCCAUAGGAGAGAAAGGAGCAGCCCAAAUAGCUGAAGCAUUGAAAACAAACAGCAGUCUGAAAACAUUGGGAUUAAGAGCAAACACUGUCCGUGCCAAAGGUGCCCAUUCAAUAGCUAAAGCUCUGGAGAUCAACACAACAUUGCAAGUUUUCGGCUUACAACUAAACAAAAUCGGGGACGAAGGCGCAAAGUACAUGGCACAAGCAUUAAAAAAAAAUCGCAGUUUGAUUGAAUUAAGGCUUGGAGACAAUGAUAUCACUGAAAAAGGAAGUGGUUACUUUAGAAGUGCUUUAGAAGUGAAUGGCACACUGGAAGAGUUGUGGAUUCUGGUGAAUAAUAUAUCAAAUGAUGGAAAGGAAAGAUUGAAAAAUGCCAGUCACAAAAACCCAAAUCUUCGACUGAAUUAAUUUCAAAAGAUGAAGUGCCCAGUUUAAUAAAGCUUGUCACUGAGAACAUACUGAAGAAGCUGUCCUUAUACAUGAAACAUGGUGUCAGAAAGUGGAGAAAAAGUAGAUUUUUGAACCCUGGAAAUUCUGCAAAGAAUGCACUGAGAACCUAGGCAAAUAGAAAGGUUCAAAUCUGCAAACAAAAAAGUUGCUGAGAAAAGGACAAAAGAAAAGCAAACAAAGGCUGCAAGAAGAUACUGGGCUAAAAAUGAACACUACUGGAGUGGUCCAAGACCAGCAAGUUUGCAACCGUGGGAAAUGUGGCUGACUGUCUCUGCUGGAACCCAGAUGCACAUUCAGGAAGCAACAUUGACAAACAGAAUAAAUUUCCUGACACAGGAACAAGUUCCAUGAUGUGCUGCUUCUCUUAAGAAAAUGCAGCCACUUUAGAAAAUAUACAGACUAAAGCAGGGAUUUAUAAAGGUGAAACAAAAACAGAAAAGCUCAGCAGGUCUGACAGCAUCUGUGGAGAGAGAAAAACAAAGUUAACGUUUCAAUUCCGUAUGACCCUUCUUCAGAGCCAGAGUCUUCGGGGUCAUACGGACUCAAAACGUUAACUUUGUCUUCCUCUCUCACUUAGAUGCCGCCAGAUCUGCUGAGCUUUUCCAACAUUUUCUGUUUUUGUUUCAGAAUUCCAGCAUCUGCAGUAUUUAGCUUUUAUAUUUAUAAAGGUGACAUGUUUAUGCCAUUGAUGCAUUGCCUUGGUUUGUUGGUGCCACCUUAAAGUAUACCUGUGGAGAUAACACCCACCACAGGCAGUGUCCUUCAGUUGAAGCUUCAAGAGCUGAAAGUUUAUGUUUUAUUCAUUGCUGAUAUGCAUCAUUUUUUUAAAAUAAAGUUUAUUCUUGGGGUGUGACAAGGUCCAUCCUUGAGCCCACUUGAGAGGACAUUUAGGGUCAACUACAUAUUGUGGGACUGCAGUCACAUGUGUGCCAGACAGGUUUCCUUAGCUGAGGGACAUUAGUGAAUAUUAGUUUUAGAACAGUAAGGACAAAAUCUUCCAUCUGAUUCAUUUUUUCUGCUGAUAACAUCUCCUUAAUAAAAUAACAUGGAUAAAUAAUAAAUAUACGUUUUUUUUAGAUUUUGUACAGCUUAAUUUUGAUUUGAAGUGUAUGACACUAGUAUUUUGUGAAUCAUUGAUAUAAGUUUAGAAACCUCAAACACUGGUGUUCACCAACAAAAAUCCCAAUACAAUCAUAUUGAAUUCCUCUCUGCACUGUUUUAAUGCAGAUAUUAAACUGCCAGUGUGAAAACAGCACAGGAAAUAAUUUAAUGGAGUGCUUUAAAUGUUAUUAGAACAGCAGCAGCAAUAGAAUUUCUAUCAUUUAUGUUUCUAUUUAAUGAGUCCGGACAACGUAUCUGUGGCGUCCAUGCCAUUUUUCUGAAUGGAGGUAACAUUACAGGGAGUGAAUCACAGAAAUUGUUUAAACUGAGGUACAGCAUGUGUUCUGUAUCCCAGCAUCUUCACACCUAAUUCCUGCAGAGAUCACAAUAGUGAGCAAGAAGCAUGCUCAGUUCUUUUUCUUCUGCCUUGUCUUGUUACAGGGCAGCUCUUGUAGCCAGCUGCAAUCAACAGACUCCACACAAACCUAAAUCUAAGCUAGGGCCUUGCUGUUCUGUCUUGUCCAUCUUGUACUAAGUUUUUAAAAGCCACUCUCUGCGUAGGCAGUUCCGUAUUGAUGAUCUCAUAUUAUAAGGGCUGGAAGGAUGUUUCAGUUCUAUAGAUAUUAUGUUGUGUCACAGAGAAGUUGUAUCAAACUUGUGAUCUGUGGCCAAAAAUAAAAGCAAUUAUUUUGACAACUUA